GACGAACGCUGGCGGCGUGCUUAACACAUGCAAGUCGAACGGAAAGGCCCUGCUUUUGUGGGGUGCUCGAGUGGCGAACGGGGGAGUAACACGUGAGUAACCUGCCCUUGACUUUGGGAUAACUUCAGGAAACUGGGGCUAAUACCGGAUAGGAUCUCCUGCUGCAUGGUGGGGGUUGGAAAGUUUCGGCGGUUGGGGAUGGACUCGCGGCUUAUCAGCUUGUUGGUGGGGUAGUGGCUUACCAAGGCUUUGACGGGUAGCCGGCCUGAGAGGGUGACCGGCCACAUUGGGACUGAGAUACGGACCAGACUCCUACGGGAGGCAGCAGUGGGGAAUAUUGCACAAUGGGCGGAAGCCUGAUGCAGCAACGCCGCGUGCGGGAUGACGGCCUUCGGGUUGUAAACCGCUUUCGCCUGUGACGAAGCGUGAGUGACGGUAAUGGGUAAAGAAGCACCGGCUAACUACGUG
This 468-nucleotide ribosomal RNA is filed under the name uncultured bacterium. Its description in RNAcentral is "partial 16S ribosomal RNA". It matches the Rfam family "Bacterial small subunit ribosomal RNA", at positions 28 to 507 of the family's 1533-position model. The record is from RNAcentral.